GCCCAGAUAGUUUAAACAAAACAUCGGUCUUGUAAGCCGAAGCCGAGGGCUAAUCCCCUCUCUGGGUA
This 68-nucleotide transfer RNA is filed under the name Triturus dobrogicus (Danube newt). Its description in RNAcentral is "tRNA-Thr". It matches the Rfam family "tRNA". From Rfam's summary of the family: Transfer RNA (tRNA) molecules are approximately 80 nucleotides in length. Their secondary structure includes four short double-helical elements and three loops (D, anti-codon, and T loops). Lineage: Eukaryota; Metazoa; Chordata; Amphibia; Caudata; Salamandridae. The record is from RNAcentral.